CGGCGGAGCAUGUGGAUUAAUUCGAUGCAACGCGAAGAACCUUACCUGGGUUUGACAUACACCGGAAAACCGUAGAGAUACGGUCCCCCUUGUGGUCGGUGUACAGGUGGUGCAUGGCUGUCGUCAGCUCGUGUCGUGAGAUGUUGGGUUAAGUCCCGCAACGAGCGCAACCCUUGUCUUAUGUUGCCAGCACGUGAUGGUGGGGACUCGUAAGAGACUGCCGGGGUCAACUCGGAGGAAGGUGGGGACGACGUCAAGUCAUCAUGCCCCUUAUGUCCAGGGCUUCACACAUGCUACAAUGGCCAGUACAGAGGGCUGCGAGACCGUGAGGUGGAGCGAAUCCCUUAAAGCUGGUCUCAGUUCGGAUCGGGGUCUGCAACUCGACCCCGUGAAGUCGGAGUCGCUAGUAAUCGCAGAUCCAGCAACGCUGCGGUGAAUACGUUCCGGCCUU
Molecule: ribosomal RNA, 451 nt
Filed under: uncultured Rhodococcus sp.
Lineage: Bacteria; Bacillati; Actinomycetota; Actinomycetes; Mycobacteriales; Nocardiaceae
Description: bacterial SSU rRNA
Rfam family: Bacterial small subunit ribosomal RNA
Source: RNAcentral